GCACAGCACUGUUCACAGUAGUUUUCAAACGUUUGCAAUAUUGUAGUAUGGUUAGUAUACCAAUAGUUUUCAAGUGAUCUGUACGUAGGGUUGUCCAUUCUUGAGUACGACACGAAAACGUGCAGUUGCCAAACGUUGGACAGGAUUACUUAGUUGCCCAAGGUUGCCAAGCUUGCAAAUGCAGGCCCCGCCCACACAACUACAAGUGUCAAUGAUUGGGUGGAGCCUAACCACUGUUGUCUCCGCCCAACUACACAAAUGCACGUGGCUCAGUCCCAGUGUGCUAAAUAUUAACGGUGGACUAAAACUGAUUCUCUAUGCCCCAGAAGAAUCUAUACUGUCAACUACUAUAAUAAAUCUACUAACAUCACUUGCUAGAAACUACAAUAUCUUGGAGGAGGCCGAUCAAUGGAAGAUACUCACUAGGGUUGACUGAGGGUGAUAUUAGGCGUCAUUUAGAAGAAUCAACCCUGGAGGUGGAGGGGAUGUCGAUAAUGUUUCUAAGGUUAAAACAUGGUUGAAGUCAACUCCUCCUCAGCAAUUGUCUGCAAGGCGAGUGCUCAAUUUCCCAACUCCAUCAUCUGAAAUAUCGUCUAAGAAAUCAAUUGAGCAUAUCUGUAUGUAAAGGAAAAGAUACCGAUCAAAAAAAAGUACGAACAGAUUAGAAGGCAGUGGGCAGUUGACCAGAAGGAAAACAGUGAGGAGCUUAUUGAAAACAAAAGCAGAAAUAGCCGGUACAGGGCAAGACGCCUCAUGAAAUUUCAGAAUCGUGGAAUGUGUGUGAAACCAACAGAGAGUAAAUAUUGGAGCCAAUUGAAUAUGCUGUACAUAACUGAGGAGUCUGACGAUGGGGAAGACAAAUCUGUAAUAGUGGAGCAUAAACUUCAGUGGCGAUCACAAAAGCUCAAUGAGUAUAUGAUGGAAUUGGACAGCCGUUAUGAGACAAAGAUUAAAAAAGAUGAUGGUGCAGUAAUGGCUAAAAAGUCAAGAAAGCUUGGCGAACCUUCCACAAGUCAUGUUCCACCCAAAUGGGCUAUCAUGAGUCAAUCUGAUUCUGAAGAAACAUUCGAACUUUAGACCUCUUAUCAAUCCAUGUAACAUUUCACUUAUUUAUUCUCCCAUUGAUCUUUUGUGCGAUGUACGUCAUGCUUGCUAAUUAUCAAUUCAAAGUAUUGUUUCUAAUUAUAAGA
Long non-coding RNA from Halichondria panicea, 1190 nucleotides. RefSeq lists it as uncharacterized. The record is from RefSeq and is a predicted model, not a curated record. The transcript has 6 exons. Lineage: Eukaryota; Metazoa; Porifera; Demospongiae; Suberitida; Halichondriidae.